RNAcentral lists this ribosomal RNA (377 nucleotides) under uncultured eukaryote. RNAcentral describes it as "partial 18S ribosomal RNA". It matches the Rfam family "Eukaryotic small subunit ribosomal RNA", at positions 592 to 976 of the family's 1831-position model. The record is from RNAcentral.
CAAUAGCGUAUAUUUAAGUUGCUGCAGUUAAAAAGCUCGUAGUUGGAUUUCGGGUGGGAAUGGCCGGUCCGCCGUUUCGGUGUGCACUUGCUACGCCCACCUUGCUGCCGGGGACGUGCUCUUGAGUUCACGCUCGGGACACGGAGUCGGCGAGGUUACUUUGAGUAAAUUAGAGUGUUCAAAGCAGGCCUACGCUCUGAAUACAUUAGCAUGGAAUAACACGAUAGGACUCUGGCCUAUCUUGUUGGUCUGUAGGACCGGAGUAAUGAUUAAGAGGGACAGUCGGGGGCAUUCGUAUUUCAUUGUCAGAGGUGAAAUUCUUGGAUUUAUGGAAGACGAACUAGUGCGAAAGCAUUUGCCAAGGAUGUUUUCAUUGA